Molecule: unclassified non-coding RNA, 337 nt
Filed under: soil metagenome
Description: partial contains 5.8S ribosomal RNA, internal transcribed spacer 2, and large subunit ribosomal RNA
Rfam family: 5.8S ribosomal RNA (bases 1-120)
Source: RNAcentral
GAUGAAGAACGUAGCGAAAUGCGAUAAGUAAUGUGAAUUGCAGAAUUCAGUGAAUCAUCGAAUCUUUGAACGCACAUUGCGCCCGCCAGUAUUCUGGCGGGCAUGCCUGUUCGAGCGUCAUUUCAACCAUCAAGCCCACGGGCUUGUGUUGGGGACCUGCGGCUGCCGCAGGCCCUGAAAAGCAGUGGCGGGCUCGCUGUCACACCGAGCGUAGUAGAUUUUAUCUCGCUCUGGGCGUGCUGCGGGUUCCGGCCGUUAAACCACCCUUUUAACCCAAGGUUGACCUCGGAUCAGGUAGGAAGACCCGCUGAACUUAAGCAUAUCAAUAAGCGGAGGA